This 450-nucleotide ribosomal RNA is filed under the name uncultured bacterium. RNAcentral describes it as "partial 16S ribosomal RNA". It matches the Rfam family "Bacterial small subunit ribosomal RNA", at positions 354 to 796 of the family's 1533-position model. The record is from RNAcentral.
GUGGGGAAUAUUGCGCAAUGGGCGAAAGCCUGACGCAGCGACGCCGCGUGAGUGAUGAAGGUUUUCGGACUGUAAAGCUCUGUUGUUUAGGACGAAAGUGCCUGUUGCAAAUAGUUACAGGUAUUGACGGUACUGAACGAGGAAGCCACGGCUAACUACGUGCCAGCAGCCGCGGUAAUACGUAGGUGGCAAGCGUUGUCCGGAAUUAUUGGGCGUAAAGAGCAUGUAGGCGGGAAUCUAAGUCUGUUGUGAAAAUGCGGGGCUCAACCCCGUAUUGCGAUGGAAACUGGGUUUCUUGAGUGCAGGAGAGGAAAGGGGAAUUCCCAGUGUAGCGGUGAAAUGCGUAGAUAUUGGGAGGAACACCAGUGGCGAAGGCGCCUUUCUGGACUGUGUCUGACGCUGAGAUGCGAAAGCCAGGGUAGCGAACGGGAUUAGAAACCCCUGUAGUCC